GACGAACGCUGGCGGCGUGCCUAAUACAUGCAAGUCGAACGCAGUGGGGACGGGUGCGUAACACGUGGGCAACCUCCCGUCAGAGGGGAUAACACUUGGAAACAAGUGCUCAACCCCUACUGGUGUCUCGACCAGCUGGGAAUUAGCUAGUUGGGGAGGUAACGGCUCACCAGGGCGACGAUGCAUAGCUGGCCGGAGAGGGUGAUCGGCCACACUGGAACUGAGACACGGCCCAGACUCCUACGGGAGGCAGCAGUAGGGAAUAUUCGGCAAUGGACGCAAGCCUGACCGAGCAAUGCCGCGUGAGUGAAGAAGGUCUUCGGAGCGUAAAACUCUGUUGUCAGAGAAGCGGUAUUCAAACAGAAAGCAACGGCUAACUCCGUGCCAGCAGCCGCGGUAAUAC
RNAcentral lists this ribosomal RNA (403 nucleotides) under uncultured bacterium. RNAcentral describes it as "partial 16S ribosomal RNA". It matches the Rfam family "Bacterial small subunit ribosomal RNA", at positions 28 to 526 of the family's 1533-position model. The record is from RNAcentral.